ACUCUGGCCCGGGUGAUUCAAAACAGGCCAUUUAUCAUUACCAAGAACAGGAAGGCUGUGAUCAAACAAUGAAGACACAUGCAGAUACUAAAGGAAUACUCUUUGGAGCAUCUCCCUAUAACCCUUUUCCCAUGUAAAUAAGGCAGUCUUCUCCCUAAACUAAUCAGAGGAUCCAAACGCACCUCCUUACCCAUGCAAGGUGCAGGACAGGAAAUAGUGGGCAUGGGGCAAGAGAACAGGAGUCCCCAAACAGGUCCAUGAUAUAGGAAUAUAAGGAGAGACGAGUUGCAGCCAGCACCAGUCCCUACCCAGGGCAGCCCGCUCUCUCUGAGGGUGUAAAUAAAACUUGCUAUACACUGCUACCUGACUCUUGUCUGCAACCUCUGGCUCAGGGUGAUGGACCAGAAUGGCUCAUUAAAACAGCCCAGUUCCGAGCUGUUACACUGAGGUGUCAGUUUGAGGGGAAAUUCCCUUCGACCCCAAACCCCUCCUGUUCUGAGCUGAUUACUCCCACCUGGAGAGACUCACUGCCUCUAUCUCUGCAAGACUGGGUCUAUCCCAGGACUGCUGCAGCACCGUCCGGCCAGAACAACCUCCUGCCAGACCACCUGCCUCCAUCCUUGCUCAACAAAGCCUGCUGGCUCUAUCCUGAUGCCACUACCAUGCUUCUCACCUUGCACCUCCAAAUCCUUGUGUGUAGGCAAGGAUCAAGGGAGAUAGCUCAGAGCUGACAAAUCUUACAGUUGUGGCUGUGGCAUAGGCUGGCAGCUGCAGCUCUGAAUUGACCCCUAUCCUGAGAACUUCCAUAUACUUCCAUAUACCAUAGGUGUGGCCCUAAAAAAAAAUAGCACAAAAAUCAAUUUUUUUUCUGUAAGAUUUACUACUAAGUCAAAUAUUGAAUUAUCAGAGGCAAGAUGAAAGGGAAUCUGGUGUUGAGAAGAGCUAGUCUUCAUUUCAUCUUCUGCUUCUGCCUGAAUCCUGUCACUUGCCACAGUGUUGAGAAGACAAUAGGGAGAGCCUGGCACCCAAAAAGUAACUUGCCAUAGCAGAGCAAGCUUACCUAAUUGAAACAAACAAACAAACAAACAAACAGUUAUUUGCAGUCCCUGCUCUGUAUUUUCCACCUCCAAAUGGGUUGAUAAUUCAUUUGGGGUCAAAGAGUGGGAAGAAUAACAAGAUCCAUUCUGGUCUCAAUUUUUCCAACAGUUUACAGGAGGCCUGAAUUUUCUGUGUUGUUAGGAAGAAUGCUCAGAUUAAUAAAGUGCGCUUUAGUUCUCAUUUGGCUAUAAAUCCUUGUCUGUAUAUUCUACAGGCCAUUACCUCAGAAGGAUGGAAGAUAAGAGACACAAGAACUUUUUUUCCUACCCAAAUGCCCUUCAAAUUUCUCUCUGCCAAGAUUUUGCUCAUCUUGUGUCCGCUGACUGGAAUUCCUAUCAGUCCUAUCCAUCCAUCAUGAACUUCUCCACUCCUCUUCCCAUAAAGUGGCUAAACCCUGAUAGAAUUUUGCUAGUGGCAUUUACAUAACAUUGUAUUACGUGUAUUUCGGUAGAUUUUAUUUUUAGAGCAGUUUUAAGUUCACAGAAACUUGAACUCUUGAGCAGUAAGUACAGAGAGUUCCCUUGUAGCCCCUCUUCCUACUCAUACAUAGCCUUCUCUACUAUCAAUAUUCUGAACCAGAAUGAUAUAUUUGUUACAAUGGUUAAACUUUCCCUGACACCUUAUCAUUCAAAGUCCACAGUUUACCUUAAAGUUCACUCUUGGUGUGGUGCAUUCUAGUGGUUUUGACAAGUAUACAAUGAGAUGUAUCUACCACUAAAGUAUUAUACAAAAUAGUUUCAUUAACCUAUAAUAUGUUCUUAUUAAUUUUCUUACUCCUUUACUAAAAUAUGAUUCUUAAGGGGAUGGGCUGAAUUUUAUUGAUCAUAUUUUUCCCUGUGAUGAAAUGAACAGUGUUCUGUGUGAUGCUGAGGAUAUAAAAAAAUGCUAAUUGAAUUAGUAAUUUUCAGUGACUAUAAUAUAUAGAGAAAAGUGUGCAUCUUGUAUGCAUCUAAGUUCUGUUUAAAUGCAAUCCUGUUUUUAUAAGAAUGAUCCCUGACUACCAGGGAGUAAAUGUUUCCAAAUUCAAUUAGAACAUGAAUAGGAAUUUCAUAGAUUGAGAUGAGUCAAAGAAUCACUAUUGUCAGUUUUAAAAUUAAACAUUUUAUGUAACUUUAUCCUUAUUUUAAGAUUUCUUUUUUGGUCUUUUUAGGCAUGUACCAAUGGUAUAUGGAUGUUCCCAGGCUAGGGGUAGAGUCAGAGCUGUAGUUGCCAGCCUACACCACAGGAUCCAAGCCCCAUCUGCAGCCUCCACCGCAGCUCAUUGGCAACACCAGAUCCUAAACCCACUGAAUGAGGCCAGGGAUCGAACCUGCGUCUUCAUGGAUACUAGUUGGGUUUGUUACUGCUGAGCCAUGACAGGAAUUCCCAUAUUUUAAGAUUGUUGGGUCUAGUUUAUAGAAGAGGAUAAAAUCCUUAAAAUUUUGCAUUAUCUCUUACAUUUUACUCUUCCUCCUUUGCAUCACCAUAGACCUGACCCUGACAUUUUAUAUUCCUUGAAACAGGAAAUACAACAUGCAUGUCAAUAGUGGCAUAGAUACAUAAAGAUAAUGCGUGAAAGAUAAUACCACUAUGGAGUUUACUUGGGAUGUAUCAUGGAAUUUGUCCUUGUUACAUGUAGUUUAAUAUUUUUUACCAAAUACUUGUGUAAAGGUCUGGGUAUUCAGUACCUUUAUAAGAAAUUACUUUGAGAGAAAAUAUUUUGCCUUUUGUUAGGCAUUCUAAGUGAAUAUGGAUAGUUGGUUGUCUGUUCUCAAGGCAAUGAAAAUGUCUUUAAUUUUUGGAUAGUAUAGAUGACAAUGUAGUAAACAAAAUUCUAUACUUAUAGCCCAAUUAAACAAACUUAGCUAAAAAGAGUACAUGUAAAAUCCUAAAUAGAGGGCCAAAACUUAAUGCAGUAAAUAUUAAUUAACAUUUAAAGCACCACUAACUUUAAUGAUUUUUAUUUUUUUCCAUUACCACCAACUUUUUAAAGCCUGGAUAUUGUGGUUAACUAUACAUCUGAAUUGAGUGAACAUUUUCUUACAAAAGCACUAAUAUUUUUAAGGACCAAAGUCAUAGAAAUGUAGAGGAGAUAAUCCUAUGUACUGAAUUUGUGUCACAGGUUAUACCUAGAAUACCUAGAAUAGUGUGUUUCAUUUAAGGAGCUCUUAAAAGGAAUAUCAGAGUGAAC
RNAcentral lists this long non-coding RNA (3268 nucleotides) under Sus scrofa (pig). RNAcentral describes it as "lncRNA (ENSSSCG00000051995.1)". The record is from RNAcentral. Lineage: Eukaryota; Metazoa; Chordata; Mammalia; Artiodactyla; Suidae.